This 404-nucleotide ribosomal RNA is filed under the name Pseudomonas sp. RNAcentral's name for it is "partial 16S ribosomal RNA". It matches the Rfam family "Bacterial small subunit ribosomal RNA", at positions 355 to 776 of the family's 1533-position model. The record is from RNAcentral. Lineage: Bacteria; Pseudomonadati; Pseudomonadota; Gammaproteobacteria; Pseudomonadales; Pseudomonadaceae. RNAcentral also lists the same sequence under 3 other names.
UGGGGAGUAUUGGACAAUGGGCGCAAGCCUGAUCCAGCCAUGCCGCGUGAGUGAUGAAGGCCCUAGGGUUGUAAAGCUCUUUCACCGGUGAAGAUAAUGACGGUAACCGGAGAAGAAGCCCCGGCUAACUUCGUGCCAGCAGCCGCGGUAAUACGAAGGGGGCUAGCGUUGUUCGGAUUUACUGGGCGUAAAGCGCACGUAGGCGGACUUUUAAGUCAGGGGUGAAAUCCCGGGGCUCAACCCCGGAACUGCCUUUGAUACUGGAAGUCUUGAGUAUGGUAGAGGUGAGUGGAAUUCCGAGUGUAGAGGUGAAAUUCGUAGAUAUUCGGAGGAACACCAGUGGCGAAGGCGGCUCACUGGACCAUUACUGACGCUGAGGUGCGAAAGCGUGGGGAGCAAACAGG